RNAcentral lists this ribosomal RNA (497 nucleotides) under uncultured bacterium. RNAcentral's name for it is "partial 16S ribosomal RNA". It matches the Rfam family "Bacterial small subunit ribosomal RNA", at positions 28 to 507 of the family's 1533-position model. The record is from RNAcentral.
GAUGAACGCUGGCGGCGUGCCUAAUACAUGCAAGUCGAGCGAACGGACGAGAAGCUUGCUUCUCUGAUGUUAGCGGCGGACGGGGGAGUAACACGUGGAUAACCUACCUAUAAGACUGGGAUAACUUCGGGAAACCGUAGCUAAUACCGGAUAAUAUUUUGAACCGCAUGGUUCAAAAGUGAAAGACGGGCUUGCGGUCACUUAUAGGUGGAUCCGCGCUGCAUUAGCUAGUUGGUAAGGUAACGGCUUACCAAGGCAACGAUGCAUAGCCGACCUGAGAGGGUGAUCGGCCACCCUGGAACUGAGACACGGUCCAGACUCCUACGGGAGGCAGCAGUAGGGAAUCUUCCGCAAUGGGCGAAAGCCUGACGGAGCAACGCCGCGUGAGUGAUGAAGGUCUUCGGAUCGUAAAACUCUGUUAUUAGUGAAGAACAUAUGUGUAAGUAACUGUGCACAUCUUGACGGUACCUAAUCAGAAAGCCACGGCUAACUACGUG